Hylaeus anthracinus is the source of this 2456-nucleotide long non-coding RNA. RefSeq lists it as uncharacterized. The record is from RefSeq and is a predicted model, not a curated record. The transcript has 3 exons. NCBI's taxonomy places the organism in Eukaryota, Metazoa, Arthropoda, Insecta, Hymenoptera, Colletidae.
CAGCGGUGAAAUCGACGUGGCGAUCGACUAGGUAUCGAUGUCUCGUCGCUCCACCUUUUCCACUCGCUAGUUUGUACAACAUGCCCCAAUCGAAUCUGCAUGCGUGCCUUUCGUUUCUUAUGGCCGCGAAUUUGGGAGAAAUCCCGUUCGAGCAGCGUGACUCAAUUAGCGAACGAGUUCCCGACAAGAGAUCUGUCCCAUUAACAGCCAGUUUAUCGUAACACGACUGCCUUUACGCCAUUGAUCCCGCGACCUCGAUCUAACGGUUGAAAUAAAAUUGGGAAAAAGAGGAAAAGUGGGCAAAAAUUAAACUUGACUGUAGAAGGAGUUUACAUAUCGACAAAUUAACCAUGGUCACGUUCUUAAUUAGCUUUGCAACGAUAUAGUAUGGGCAAUGAUGACUGCGAUUUAUUCUUGUAAAUGAUUUUCUGUGAUUGAGUCUUCCUUUUUUUUUUUUUUUUUAAUAAUGGUAACAGUUAUUUAGUACGCCUAUUUCCUUUCCAUGCGUCCCGUGAGUUUGAACUUACGUUCGACAGGAAAAUUUGCGUUAAAAAUAGAUGAAACGAAAUGAAAAAUAAUGUUUGUUCGUAAUUGAAGGAGGACCUGUUUUCUCGAAUUUUGUAACGGAUUCUGUGGUAUCUGUCGCGAAAGCGGCGCGAAUAAAAAAUUCGAAGAAAAAUAAAGGCGAAUCGGAGAGCAACGUCGCGUGACGCCCAGGAAUUUUUCGUGUCGAGGGGCACAGAGAGGAGGAGGGACGCGCGUAGAGCUGUUUCUAUGCGCGCGAUAGUAUCGGCCAGCUCGAAAGUGCAGCAUGUAUCAGAACUGUUUUUUUCGCGCACCACGCGUGGCCAGCACGGACUUUGGCUGUCGGUAGCGAUGGGACUAACACCGUAUCGAUACCAGACAAUAAAGUACCGCUUUUGAUACUCAUUUUAAUCUCAAACAAAAAGAUACGGUCUCAAAAACGUUUCUCAUUUUCUACUUAUUUAUAUUCAAAUCUAUAUUCAUAGUAUCUUCUUAUUAACUGAAUUAUCUGUAAUAUUUCCUUAUAAACUAUUUUGUUUGAUCAAAAUUCCUGCAACUACGCCAUUUAAAGAAUUUCCUUGUAAAGCUUCACCAUGAGUACAAAUUGCAUUAUCCUUGAGAAGCCAUCAAAAUCUCCAAUUGCUCGAACACCACUGACGUGUAUCGUAUCCAAUCCAUCAGCAGUAGUUAGACAACCAACUUGUGUGAUAAUGGACUGGUUCUUGUUUUGUUCCGUUUCCCUCGCCCCUCCACUCCGUUCGGUACACGCGAAAAUUACCACCAAUUGGUGCCAAAAUAACUGUCGACACACUGUACCGAUUUGUGCAACUGAAUCGAAACGAGAUCGUGUCUCAGAGAUCCGCGCGGACAUUCGAGGAAAUAAAAGAACGCGAAGAAGGUAUGAGAUGUACCGGUUAACGGUGAAAAACGACGUUGAACCACUUCCUUUGUUAUAAAAUCCUUUGGACAAAAGUGAGUAUCGCGCAUAGAUAGCGCGAGGAGAAUGCCGGAUUUUUAAAAUGGAACGUGUCGCGAUAAUUUCUGCUUUGUCGAAUAAAUGAAGUCCCGCGGGGGUAAAGAAGACGAAAUAAUUGAAAGGGAACCCGCGCGUUAACCUUCGCCUCCAAGUAGCUUACAAUUUACUAAAAAUAUCAUUCCCGGACAAUGGAUAAACGAAGAAAAAGGAAAUAUUAAAUCUCGAAGAGCAGGAAGUUGACGAAACGCCGAGAUUUAUCGAAGUCCCAAAACUCGCGGUGCACUUCCUCGGCCGAGCGAAGAAACGCUGAUAAUAGUUAUCGACCGGACAUGGACAAGUUCCCCACAAUAGCGAACGACGUAUCGCGUCCUUGAAUGAUACAAACACGCCUCCCCGCUGCACUUUACGGUCGAUGGAUCUAUACGUAAAAGACGAGACUUCCUGUUACACCAGGAUGGUGAACGACCACGAGAUCCUCGAAUGGCGAAUACCAAGGUAAAGAAGAAACGUAUCGCGAGACAGUGGACAUAUUUCUUGUACCUCUCACGGGCCAAUGCAUGUUUCAAAGGGAACUCUUCCCAAACGAGUGCAGCAUGGUAGUCGAGUAGGUCUUUUCGAAUUUAAAAGGUACGACUAGAAUCCUGAAAAGGCUGACUGAGAUAUUUUAUUUAAGGAUACUACGAUCUUAAUCUUUGUGCGUGUAUGUACUUAUACUUUGGUAGGUUGGAACUUUGUUGGAAGAAUUUUGUUAGCUAUGGAAGAUUCGUUAUUAGUGAAAUUAUUUUUAGUCUGGCUGGGUUUAACAAACUCCUCGCUUAACCCUUCGAGUGCCAGAGGAAAUUUUCGUACAUAUCCGAGAAAUACCAGGCAAUUUUAAGCAAAGAUGCAUGAUUGUAAACAAAAACGUGUAUUUCGGUCAAUUUUAUUUUAAAGUUCAUGAAAUUUUUACACGAUA